Molecule: transfer RNA, 84 nt
Filed under: Agaricus bisporus var. burnettii
Lineage: Eukaryota; Fungi; Basidiomycota; Agaricomycetes; Agaricales; Agaricaceae
Also listed under: 2 other names
Rfam family: tRNA
About the family: Transfer RNA (tRNA) molecules are approximately 80 nucleotides in length. Their secondary structure includes four short double-helical elements and three loops (D, anti-codon, and T loops). Further hydrogen bonds mediate the characteristic L-shaped molecular structure. tRNAs have two regions of fundamental functional importance: the anti-codon, which is responsible for specific mRNA codon recognition, and the 3' end, to which the tRNAs corresponding amino acid is attached (by aminoacyl-tRNA synthetases). tRNAs cope with the degeneracy of the genetic code in two manners: having more than one tRNA (with a specific anti-codon) for a particular amino acid; and 'wobble' base-pairing, i.e. permitting non-standard base-pairing at the 3rd anti-codon position.
Source: Rfam by way of RNAcentral
GGCUACCUGGCGCAAUGGUAGCGCGUUUGGCUUCGAUCGCUCAACGUCACCAAAAGGUUGCAGGUUCGAGUCCUGCGGUGGUCA